GUGCUGCUCAUGCGGUGGAGUGUCGAGACCAUUAGACUCUGUGUUACUGUUAAAAUAAAGGGAAAUAUGCACAUAUAGUGACCUGGAAGUCUCUCUUAGUGUGUCGUGAGGGUUGUGUAUUGUGCAGAGGGAACUUUUAACUUCUGUCGAGACGCAUGUGGAGAAAUCUGAUCGACACUAGAUCUCGAAGCAGGGGAGAGAAGUACUCUGAAGGCCUUUUGAGUGUUUCCAGGCCGAGUGUGAAGCAGUAAGAAGGGAAAUGGGGUUCAUCAUUUGCUGUGGAAGUGUGUACAUGCUAUAGAGGGUGGUGAUGAACAAAUGAGAUCCACUAUCGUUGUCUAUGUUAGUUAGAUUCCUGUAAUUGAUUUGUUAACGUGGUGACUGAGAACAGAAAGGCAAGAGAGACUCAGUUUGAUAAUAAGAAAAACACCUUGAUUUAUGUCACUCAAUUUAGCAAGCUUUUCUGUCUAACAUUCUAAAUUUGCAUAGUUAACGCUGCGCUGUUCCAAGUGAAGUCUGGAAUAAAUGACCUCUUGAAUAAUUUAUGUUCCUGUGUCCAGUGCUGUCAUUAACACUCACACCGGGUCACAUAUAUGCUGCAUAUAUGUGUAUAUAUGCCACAUAUAGGCAACAUUGAGGUGCAUAUAUGUGCAUACAGGCCAUAUAGGUCUCCUGUAUUGCUUCUUUAUAUCCACAUAUAAGCCCUAUAUGUGCAUACAAGAUAUGUCUCCUAUAUAGCUCAUGGCAGGAUCUGGUCAUUUUGUAGCUCAUAUCUCACUUUGGCAACUGUCAUACAUGAUGCCUAGCUCAUAUUUUCUAUUAUCAAGGCAAUAACUAAGAACUAACUAAAAAAAAAAAACUAUGCAAGAACUUAUGCGAACACGUGAAAUUGGUAUCACAUGUUAUUUGCAUGUUAUGGAAUUUAACUAUGGCAAUUAUGUGAGAGGAGAGGGAAAGCUAUGUCUACAUGUUUUCCUGAAACAUUUACAAGGUCAAUUCUUUCUUGUAUGAAGAUAGUGGAAAAGAAGGAAAUAACAAAAUGGUUUGUCGUUUUUAUUAUUUUGUCAAUCAAGCCUUUUUUCCAAUUUCAAGUCACUUCCAGAUUCACAUUACAGCUCAUACACAUCCACACAUUCACCAUUACAUCCACCAAAUGCAAUGCAAAAUGCAAUGUUUUCUGUAUUGUCUUAAUGCAGUUUCUAGAUGAAUAUGGCUGAAAGGUCAUUACAGUCUAAAUGUAGCAAAAAAAAAAAAAAAGUGCAUAGAACAUGCAUUCAAGUAAUCAUCAUCAUCAUCCCACAUCUAUCUGAGCAUUUCACUGUGGUUAAUGAAUUUGAAGACAAUGUCAAUGUCUCUGCGUCUUAUUUCCUUAACGUUAUAAAUACUGAUAAGCCCCAACUCAAAAAAAUGAAAAUUGGUUGUUGUUGGUCCAAAGAAUGUAAUUAUGUUUAAAUUAAAUAAUGCUCUUACGUUUGUGUAUUAAAAUUAAAACAGUUGUGUUGACAAAAUUAGAAAAAGUGAUAUUUCCCAUGCAGUUGUGUUGCUUCUGCAGUACCGCACUUUGGUCAGCAGAUGGAGUUAUAUCUGCACAUGCGCAGAUGGAAAGCACAUCCAACGAUCAACUUUGAUCCUUCAGCUCACUCAAAGUCCCUCAUCGCCAUUUUGUGCAGCCAAACAUUUCACAAUCAACGUUUUGUCUUUGUGGACGCAGAGAGUUUUGGAGUUCCUGAUUCCUACAUGUGGCUGUGCAGAGAUUGUGGCUCAUCUCACAUAUCAAGAUCAAAGCUUUUAAAAUACUUCAGCACAUUCAAUUCACAUAAGAGGCGAAAACAUCAUUUCUCAACCCAGCUCCUCAGGAUCUUCAGAAAGAAAGGAGGAACAGCAACACAGAAGAUGACAAACAUCCUGUCAGUUAUGGAUCAGAAUGACAUCAUCGAAAAAAACGUGAAUGCAUCUUGAAAGCCCUUACUGUUUACAUGAACGAAGACCCCUCAAACCUUAUGAAGGAGUACUUGGACGUUGAACAUGAUGAAGGCCAAACUUCAAUGCGAAACACCACCCUAGGCAUUUAUGUCAUCGUACAUGAAGGGGCAGAUGCUACAGACCCUUACGAAGAUGUUGGCAUUAUCAUUGAAGGCGUCCAAAUACUUGAAGACCUGAACAAUGUGGCAAAUGCUUGUUCUGUGAUGCUUGGUCUAAUUUACACUUUAAACUUGGCUUACCCACAAGACCUGAGGUACACUUUUGAAGUAUUUAAAAAGAUUUUUAUGGAGCUAGAUGCAUACAAGCUGUCAAACAAGGUCCAGGUCCUGAAAAAUAAACUCCUUUCAGAAACGCUGUAACUUGAGGUCAGGACCAAGAGCCAGGAUUUAUGUUUUCUCCAUAAUGUUGCACUGUUGUUUGGCUGUUGCAGUACAUAUAUUUAUGUACAUAAUACUGUUUUUUUUUUUUUUUUUUUUGUUCUUGUGCAAUUAAAAGGAGGCACACGAAGCAAAAGAAGACCGCUAUUAUUUUUUAAGUAUAACACUUGUAUGUGAAUAUUUUAUAAAUCCUUUAAUUUAAAGACAGCUUGCUUUUAUUUAUUUUUAUUUUCUUGUAAUAAGCAGAUUCUUUUCAUUUUGAAAAGAAAAGUUAGUCUUUUGAGAUUACAGAUUUUCAGAAUUGUUAUUGAAUGGAUUCAAUA
This is a long non-coding RNA of Xyrauchen texanus (razorback sucker), 2683 nucleotides long. RefSeq lists it as uncharacterized. The transcript is spliced from 5 exons. The record is from RefSeq and is a predicted model, not a curated record. Lineage: Eukaryota; Metazoa; Chordata; Actinopteri; Cypriniformes; Catostomidae.